GACGAACGCUGGCGGCGUGCUUAACACAUGCAAGUCGAACGGAAAGGCCCUGCUUUUGUGGGGUGCUCGAGUGUCGAACGGGUGAGUAACACGUGAGUAACCUGCCCUUGACUUUGGGAUAACUUCAGGAAACUGGGGCUAAUACCGGAUAGGAGCUCCUGCUGCAUGGUGGGGGUUGGAAAGUUUCGGCGGUUGGGGAUGGACUCGCGGCUUAUCAGCUUGUUGGUGGGGUAGUGGCUUACCAAGGCUUUGACGGGUAGCCGGCCUGAGAGGGUGACCGGCCACAUUGGGACUGAGAAAAGGCCCAGACUACUACAAGAGGCAGCAGUGGGGAAGAUUGCAAAAUGGGCGGAAGCCUGAUGCAACAACGCCGCGUGCGAGAUGACGGCCUUCGAGUUGUAAACCGCUUUCGCCUGUGACGAAGCGUGAGUGACGGUAAUGGGUAAAGAAGCACAGGCUAACUACGUG
RNAcentral lists this ribosomal RNA (468 nucleotides) under uncultured bacterium. Its description in RNAcentral is "partial 16S ribosomal RNA". It matches the Rfam family "Bacterial small subunit ribosomal RNA", at positions 28 to 507 of the family's 1533-position model. The record is from RNAcentral.